AGAGUUUGAUCCUGGCUCAGGAUGAACGCUAGCUACAGGCUUAACACAUGCAAGUCGAGGGGCAGCAUGGUCUUAGCUUGCUAAGGCCGAUGGCGACCGGCGCACGGGUGAGUAACACGUAUCCAACCUGCCGUCUACUCUUGGACAGCCUUCUGAAAGGAAGAUUAAUACAAGAUGGCAUCAUGAGUCCACAUGUUCACAUGAUUAAAGGUAUUCCGGUAGACGAUGGGGAUGCGUUCCAUUAGAUAGUAGGCGGGGUAACGGCCCACCUAGUCUUCGAUGGAUAGGGGUUCUGAGAGGAAGGUCCCCCACAUUGGAACUGAGACACGGUCCAAACUCCUACGGGAGGCAGCAGUGAGGAAUAUUGGUCAAUGGGCGAGAGCCUGAACCAGCCAAGUAGCGUGAAGGAUGACUGCCCUAUGGGUUGUAAACUUCUUUUAUAAAGGAAUAAAGUCGGGUAUGCAUACCCGUUUGCAUGUACUUUAUGAAUAAGGAUCGGCUAACUCCGUGCCAGCAGCCGCGGUAAUACGGAGGAUCCGAGCGUUAUCCGGAUUUAUUGGGUUUAAAGGGAGCGUAGAUGGAUGUUUAAGUCAGUUGUGAAAGUUUGCGGCUCAACCGUAAAAUUGCAGUUGAUACUGGAUAUUUUGAGUGCAGUUGAGGCAGGCGGAAUUUGUGGUGUAGCGGUGAAAUGCUUAGAUAUCACGAAGAACUCCGAUUGCGAAGGCAGCCUGUUAAGUUGCAACUGACAUUGAGGCUCGAAAGUGUGGGUAUCAAACAGGAUUAGAUACCCUGGUAGUCCACACGGUAAACCCUCAAAAAGGGCUGUUUGCGAUAUACUGCAAGCGGCCAAGCGGAAAGCGUUAAUUAUUCCUCCUGGGGAGUACGCCGGCAACGGUGAAACUCAAAAAAAUAGACGGGGGCCCGCACAAGCGGAGGAACAUGAGGUUUAAUUCGAUGAUACGCGAGGAACCUUACCCGGGCUUAAAUUGCAGCUGAAUUACGGUGAAAGCAGUAAUCCGCAAGGCUUCUGUGAAGGUGCUGCACGGUGGUGGUCAGCUCGUGCCUUGAGGUGUGGGCUUAAGUGCCAUAACGAGCGCAACCCUUGUGGUCAGUUUCUAACAGGUUGUGUUGAGGACUCUGACAAGACUGCCAUCGUAAGAUGUGAGGAAGGUGGGGAUGACGUCAAAUCAGCACGCCCCUUACGUCCGGGGCUACACACGUGUUACAAUGGGGGGUACAGAGGGCCGCUACCACGCGAGUGGAUGCCAAUCCCAAAAACCUCUUUCAGUUUGGACUGGAGUUUGCAACCCGACUCCACGAAGCUGGAUUCGCUAGUAAUCGCGCAUCAGCCACGGCGCGGUGAAUACGUUCCCGGGCCUUGUACUCACCACCCGUCAAG
Molecule: ribosomal RNA, 1399 nt
Filed under: uncultured bacterium
Lineage: Bacteria
Description: bacterial SSU rRNA
Rfam family: Bacterial small subunit ribosomal RNA
Source: RNAcentral